Molecule: unclassified non-coding RNA, 249 nt
Filed under: Hevea brasiliensis (rubber tree)
Lineage: Eukaryota; Viridiplantae; Streptophyta; Magnoliopsida; Malpighiales; Euphorbiaceae
Source: RNAcentral
GAAUUUCCAAAGAUUUUGCAGAUUAUGCUACUCAUGUUUCCACUGAACCAAGGGGAACUUAUGGUUAUGCCCCUCCUGAGUAUUUCAAAAUUGGCGAAAGUAGGAAUCUUACUGAUAAGUCCGACGUCUUUUCCUUCGGCAUUGUUCUUUUGGAGCUAAUUACAGGGAAAAAAGCCUGUGUUAAAAAGAAAAGCAAGCGAUAUAUUUACUUGGCUGUUUGGGCAAUGCCUCUACUCAAACAAAUUUUGG